This is a non-coding RNA of Parelaphostrongylus tenuis, 78 nucleotides long. NCBI's taxonomy places the organism in Eukaryota, Metazoa, Nematoda, Chromadorea, Rhabditida, Metastrongylidae. The record is from the annotation of a GenBank genome assembly.
GCCUCGGUGGUGUACUGGUUAGAUCACGCGUCCCCGGUUAGGAUGAAACGCGGGUGGGUUCGAUUCCCGGCUGAGGCC